Molecule: long non-coding RNA, 584 nt
Organism: Branchiostoma floridae (Florida lancelet)
Lineage: Eukaryota; Metazoa; Chordata; Leptocardii; Amphioxiformes; Branchiostomatidae
Exons: 4
Source: RefSeq, a predicted model, not a curated record
CCGUACACAUAAGUCUGAGUGUUCUAAAACUUCCAGAAGCUUGGUAAGAGCCAGAGGAGACUGUCAGCAGCAAAAUCUGCAAGCAGUGCACAGAUCACAAACAUGACAGGUACUCGCAUCCUUGGGUUGACGCUCGUGUAUCUGUUGGUCGGACAGGGUGUGCAUUGUGGCCUGCCAAGAUCCAGAGGAGAGAAAUACCUAGCGGGUAAGCUCUGCGAGAACCUGCCAGACGGCACCUUCCGCCCCCACCCGUACGACUGCUCCAUGUACGUGCAGUGUUACCAAACGGGACUUGACAUGGUGUUCGGCUGUCCCCCGGGAACCCGCUGGAGCCAGGAACUACUGACCUGUGCCAGCUCGGAUCUGGUCAUUUGUGACUAGUCAGGAGACUAACAGACAAACAAUACGGACGAACCCAAAACCCAGAUGGACGCACGAGAAAAGCACCUAUCUGCAUCUUAGCUCAUCUUUCAGCACUAGUACAAAGAUGCAACGCUACAAAGGCAACCACAAGAAACUGCUACAGCUCGCUUGCUUGUUUCCCCGUCAAAUGCUAAUAAAGGGCUUAACUUCAAAAUCUCAAA